Molecule: long non-coding RNA, 1773 nt
Filed under: Daphnia magna
Lineage: Eukaryota; Metazoa; Arthropoda; Branchiopoda; Diplostraca; Daphniidae
Description: uncharacterized LOC116926614
Source: RNAcentral
GUGUGGGAGAUGUAGAGAAGUUUUGCAGGUCAGACAAAAGAAGAAGAAAAAAAAUAAUAAUUUGAAUUUUCACUGUAAUGUGACGCAAUUUGAACGCGGGAAGUCACGGCCGACAUCAUUUGCCCAUUUAUGGCUGUGGACGUGUAAGAAAAAAAAAAGGAAUAAACGACCUUUAGGAAAAAGUAUUUUGCAAUAACCAAUGACUAGGCAAGGACGUUGAAACGGUGAAAAAAAAAAGGGGGGAAUAUUCCGAACUGUUCAUCUCAAGUUAUUGGGUAAAGUCACGCAAGGUGGGAAAAAACAUCGAAUAGCUAUUAACGGACAGUUUGACAAUAUUGACUUUUUCGGGGUCGACACACGCACAAGACGAAUGAGCAUUCAAAUAGAUAAAAUUAUUAUUUUUUUUGCUUCUUAAUGGUAAUAAAAAUAAAUUUCAUCAGAGAAAUCCUUUAGUUCGCAGAAAUCAACAUUCAAAUAAAACAACUCAAUCGACUAGUCUUAAAUCCUUUUGUUUAAACUGAUAGUAUAAAACAACAAAGAAAAAAGAGCGGCUAUCUUAAUUUGAGAAUUGAAUAGGUUGCCAUGCGACGGACCUGCCGGGAGUUAAAGUUCCGGGAAAAAAUGGCACGAUCCAUCUUUUGAACAAGAAAAAACUGUUGGGCUGAAACAAAUAGAAACCAGACGUCAACCGGCUCAGAAUAAAAAGGACUGUUCCAGGAAAACAAGUGAGAUGGCGUGACUAUAUAUACAAACAAUAAGGUCAAUACCUAUACGUUUCGCAAACAAGAGGCGCGGUUUUCCCGCGUUGACUAAUAAUCCAGAGAUUUAUUAUUUUUAUUUUUAUUUUGGCAAACGUCCAAAAGUUGCGUGUGUGGCAAAAGGAUAUUUCUAUGGGUGGGUAACUCGUCAAAAAUGAUCUAGGACAAUUUCCCGACGUAUGAGAAUUCAUUACAAACACAAUGACUAGGCAUAAAUUUCUACCUGAUUUCUUUUAAAUAGCAUAAUCAAAAUUCUUGAAAAAAACAAAAACUUGUUUUUAAGUUAACAUAUUCCAAGGCUAAAUAAAUUAAAACAAGAAAAUGUGGGGAAAAAAAAAAAAUUAAAUCGCCGUUACGGAGUUUUGAACAAUCGCCCUUAAGGAUAGAGUUUGGAUAUUUUUUGAGGUCCACGCUGGCAAACGGUGCCCACGUGAUCGCGGGCACGUUGAGUUCAUCGAGUCCAUUCGGUUCUAGGCUACUCACUAUAACAACAAAAAAACUAGAAUCUCCAGCUUAUUAUGGGCUGAAAAUUCAAGUUGUUUUAAUUUUUGGUGGUUUUUUAUCGGCUUUUAUUCAAAUAGAAUUUGUUUUGUGCAAACGAAAAAGAAAAACAAGAACUUGUGAUUGGAUAUUUUUACAUGUAUCGCCAAAUCACGUUUCCCCUUCGUCUGUUUCGUUCGCCAACGUUUGCAAAUUCCAAACUGGAAUAGGGAAAACGAGGAAACAGAAAUAAAAAGGAGUCUCGUGAAACGACCUUGACUCGGUUAAAAAAGGCACCCAACAACACCAGCGCAGUCACCAUGACGGAGAAGAAAAUGUGGGACCCCCUUUUGCAGCCACCUAGCGGCAGUCGCCUUGGCAAGAGAUACGGCCAGUUACAGCAAAACGACGAUGAAAAAUAAAUUAAAAAAAAUAAAAAAAUUCACUGCGUCAACAAGUUCAUCGGACGAACCGUCGUACCACCACCAGAGUUUCGUUUUUUAAAAGCAUAAAAAUAAAAUAGACAUAAAUCAAG